AUUGAACGCUGGCGGCAGGCUUAACACAUGCAAGUCGAGCGGGGGAAGGUAGCUUGCUACCGGACCUAGCGGCGGACGGGUGAGUAAUGCUUAGGAAUCUGCCUAUUAGUGGGGGACAACAUCUCGAAAGGGAUGCUAAUACCGCAUACGUCCUACGGGAGAAAGCAGGGGAUCUUCGGACCUUGCGCUAAUAGAUGAGCCUAAGUCGGAUUAGCUAGUUGGUGGGGUAAAGGCCUACCAAGGCGACGAUCUGUAGCGGGUCUGAGUGGAGGAUCCGCCACACUGGGACUGAGACACGGCCCAGACUCCUACGGGAGGCAGCAGUGGAGAAUAUUGGACAAUGGGUGGAACCCUGAUCCAGCCAUGCCGCGUGUGUGAAGAGGGCCUUAUGGUUGUAAAGCACUUUAAGCGAGGAGGAGGCUACUCUAGUUAAUACCUAGUGAUAGUGGACGUUACUCGCAGAAUAAGCACCGGCUAACUCUGUGCCAGCCGCCGCCGUAA
RNAcentral lists this ribosomal RNA (501 nucleotides) under uncultured bacterium. RNAcentral's name for it is "partial 16S ribosomal RNA". It matches the Rfam family "Bacterial small subunit ribosomal RNA", at positions 30 to 523 of the family's 1533-position model. The record is from RNAcentral.